Molecule: long non-coding RNA, 2151 nt
Filed under: Piliocolobus tephrosceles (Ugandan red Colobus)
Lineage: Eukaryota; Metazoa; Chordata; Mammalia; Primates; Cercopithecidae
Description: lncRNA (ENSPTEG00000016965.1)
Source: RNAcentral
AAAAUGAACAAAAAAAUGAACAAAAAAUUGGACAUUCAAAAGAACAAACAAAUGAAUUAGAAAAAAUUUAUAAGUAAAAGAAAAACUUUUCAAUUAUGUCUAUAUCAAAAUUCUCUAACAAACAAUUUUUUUUUUUUUUUUUUUACUUAUAGAAAAUAUAUUCAUUUCUUUAGAUAAAAAUAAUAUCAGUGAUUUUAUUAAAAUAAAAGAGAAUAAAACUUUACUAAAUCUAAAAUGUAGAUCUUCAAAAGUGUUUAGUACAAUGAAGGAUUAUGUUAUGUACAAUGUACAUGUUUCAAUGGAUUUGGUAGAUAAGUUUUGGCCUGAUAAUGUGAAUUCUUAUGAUGUUGAGUCGAUUAAAAUGUUAAUAGAAAAGACAUGGAAUCAAGAAAAUAAAGAUUUUAUAUAUACAACAAAAAAAUUAAUAGAGACGCGUGAACGUAAUAAGGCGUUUAUUUUACAAAUAGGACUUAAUAGUAUUUCAUCCAUACUUCUAAAUGAACCUAAGAAUGCUAUAAUUAUAGAGCCUGAUAUGGAAAAAUGUUUGGAUUUUUUUCUUUAUAGAAACAACCGUUGUUUAUUAUUUACUCCAGGUGUUAAAAUUUAUUGUGGUAAUAAAAUUAUAAAAAAAAAAAAAAAAGAUAAGAUUGAUAAUAUUAGUAGUGAAAGUAGUGAAAGUAGUGAAAAUGAAGACAGUGAUAUAUAUGAUACAUUUGAUUUUAUAACAAAAAUAUAUCAACAUAAGGAUAAAAAAAUUAUAGAUAUUUUAAUUAUAAGUUAUAAAUAUUCAACUGCUUUGUUAUAUUAUUUGUUUCCAUAUGUUAAUCCAUCUACUUUAGUAAUUUUAAUGGAUAAUUUGAAUCAUCAAAUGAAAUCUGCAAUUUUUGAAUUUUAUAAUUUUAUGGGAGAUGCAGAUUUUUCAAAAGGUUACGAAAAUCAAUUAUUCCAAUCAUAUACCACAAAUAACAAUAAUAAUUUGAAUAAAAAAAAUAGUACAGAUAUUGAAAGUAAUAACAGUGAUAUAAAAAUUGGAGAAUAUGUAUAUGAUGAAAACUUUUAUAUUUAUAACAAAAUAAAAACAUCACCUUUUUAUAUAAUUACAUUAAGUCCUAAAAUAAAAAUAAACCCAAACGAACAAUAUUAUAAAAAAUUUAUUUCAGAUGAAUAUACUUCUGCUUAUGAAUCUGAAAUAUGUCGAUUGAUAAAAGACAUAGAAAAAAUAUUAAAAAGAAAUAUAGAUUUUUACAAAAAAUAUAAAAUUGCUGUUAAUAAUUAUUUUGCAGUUAUAAAUGAUUUUGAAUUUGAUAAUGAUAAGGAGGUCAAAAAUUAUGUUACAAAUUUAUUAUUAUCAACAUUAAACUUGUUAGAAGAAGGUGAAACAAAUCAUCAACAAUUAGAGAAAAAUGUGUACAAACUUGCUCUUAAUAAUUUAAAACAAAUAUUUGAUACUAUGUUAUUUAAUGUUUAUGAAAAAUCAAAAUUUAAAGGUCUCUUUUUAGCAUUAAUAGAUUUUUUUAAACUAUAUUUGAAUAAAAAUAACUCUAGUUAUAUUAUAUAUGAAUUUUUACUUUAUUCUCUAAUUAAAAACUCAGAAGAUAUUUCAACUUAUGAAAUAAAAGAAUUACUUUUUCUUGAUGUAUUAAGAGAUGUUUCAAAAAAAAUUAAUACAUCAUCCAUUCAUCAAGUAAUUGAAAUUGUUACAAAAUUAAAUAUACUAUUAAAAAAACUUAGAGCAAGAGAAGAUAUAACGCAUGUAAAAAAUUAUGUUAAACAAGAGUUUUCUCUCGAUUACAUGAACAAUGAAUUGUAAUUCUCAUAACAUUUUGUAACCAAAUUAGCUGACACGUGUGUGUAUAUAUAUAAAUACAUAUAUAAAUACAUAUAUAUGUACAUACUCGAAUCGGCAUGACACAAUUUUGGCGUUUAUAUUAUGGCUUUCACAUGUUGUGACAUAUAUACAUAUAUAUGUAUAUAUAGACAAGCACAACUACUUAUUAAAUUUUUAAAACAUAAAAAAUAAUUCAAUUAAAAACUACUAAAAUAUUAUAUGCUAAGUUAUAAUUUUUCUUCUUUUUUUUUUUUUAUACACAUAAAUUAUAAAAUUCAAAAGUUUAAUGAAUUGUGUGAAUAAAGGUGAAAAAAGAAAAAACA